GAUUCGACUAGACUAUCGCGCACAUAUUGAUCACAUUUGAUAAACAAGCUAUGAUCGUUGGAGAGUACCCCUCAGAUAUAUAGGUUAAUUUGACUCGAUUUUGCAGGUGCUUUGAUCUGAAGGAUUGGUUUGUGAUACGUCAUUGAUUCAUCGUUGACACAAAUAUGAAAGCACACUAGAAAGAUAAACAUAGGAGAUCAUAGCUGAAGGGUGGGUUUCCAACGACGGUGGUGUGCUGCCUUUCUUCCAGUGCCGACAAGAUGGCUAGUUUGUCACCC
Molecule: long non-coding RNA, 278 nt
Organism: Triticum dicoccoides
Lineage: Eukaryota; Viridiplantae; Streptophyta; Magnoliopsida; Poales; Poaceae
Exons: 3
Source: RefSeq, a predicted model, not a curated record